CCUACGGGAUGCUGCAGUGGGGAAUAUUGGACAAUGGGCGAAAGCCUGAUCCAGCCAUGCCGCGUGUGUGAAGAAGGCCUUCGGGUUGUAAAGCACUUUCAGUGGGGAAGAAAGCCUUGGGGCUAAUACCCUCGAGGAAGGACAUCACCCACAGAAGAAGCACCGGCUAACUCCGUGCCAGCAGCCGCGGUAAUACGGAGGGUGCGAGCGUUAAUCGGAAUUACUGGGCGGAAAGCGCGCGUAGGCGGUCUGAUAAGCCGGUUGUGAAAGCCCCGGGCUCAACCUGGGAACGGCAUCCGGAACUGUCAGGCUAGAGUGCAGGAGAGGAAGGUAGAAUUCCCGGUGUAGCGGUGAAAUGCGUAGAGAUCGGGAGGAAUACCAGUGGCGAAGGCGGCCUUCUGGACUGACACUGACGCUGAGGUGCGAAAGCGUGGGUAGCAAACAGGAUUAGAUACCCUAGUAGUC
This 465-nucleotide ribosomal RNA is filed under the name Vreelandella stevensii. RNAcentral's name for it is "partial 16S ribosomal RNA". It matches the Rfam family "Bacterial small subunit ribosomal RNA", at positions 338 to 795 of the family's 1533-position model. The record is from RNAcentral. Lineage: Bacteria; Pseudomonadati; Pseudomonadota; Gammaproteobacteria; Oceanospirillales; Halomonadaceae.